GAUGAACGCUGGCGGCGUGCUUAACACAUGCAAGUCGAACGAAGCACUUUUACAGAUUUCUUCGGAAUGAAGUUUUAGUGACUUAGUGGCGAACGGGUGAGUAACGCGUGAGUAACCUGCCCUGGAGUGGGGGACAACAGUUGGAAACGACUGCUAAUACCGCAUAAGCCCACGGAUCCGCAUGGAUCUGUGGGAAAAGGAUUUAUUCGCUUCAGGAUGGACUCGCGUCCAAUUAGCUAGUUGGUGAGGUAACGGCCCACCAAGGCGACGAUUGGUAGCCGGACUGAGAGGUUGAACGGCCACAUUGGGACUGAGACACGGCCCAGACUCCUACGGGAGGCAGCAGUGGGGGAUAUUGCACAAUGGGGGAAACCCUGAUGCAGCGACGCCGCGUGGAGGAAGAAGGUUUUCGGAUUGUAAACUCCUGUCGUUAGGGACGAUAAUGACGGUACCUAACAAGAAAGCACCGGCUAACUACGUG
RNAcentral lists this ribosomal RNA (481 nucleotides) under uncultured bacterium. Its description in RNAcentral is "bacterial SSU rRNA". It matches the Rfam family "Bacterial small subunit ribosomal RNA", at positions 28 to 507 of the family's 1533-position model. The record is from RNAcentral.